RNAcentral lists this ribosomal RNA (256 nucleotides) under uncultured prokaryote. Its description in RNAcentral is "partial 16S ribosomal RNA". It matches the Rfam family "Bacterial small subunit ribosomal RNA", at positions 521 to 775 of the family's 1533-position model. The record is from RNAcentral.
UAAUACGUAGGGUGCGAGCGUUGUCCGGAAUUACUGGGCGUAAAGAGCUCGUAGGUGGUUUGUCGCGUCGUCUGUGAAAUUCCGGGGCUUAACUUCGGGCGUGCAGGCGAUACGGGCAUAACUUGAGUGCUGUAGGGGAGACUGGAAUUCCUGGUGUAGCGGUGAAAUGCGCAGAUAUCAGGAGGAACACCGAUGGCGAAGGCAGGUCUCUGGGCAGUUACUGACGCUGAGGAGCGAAAGCAUGGGUAGCAAACAG